This 84-nucleotide ribosomal RNA is filed under the name Solemya velum gill symbiont. Lineage: Bacteria; Pseudomonadati; Pseudomonadota; Gammaproteobacteria. The record is from RNAcentral.
CGUCCGAUCACCGAAGUUAAGCAACGUCGGGCCCGGUUAGUACUUGGAUGGGUGACCGCCUGGGAAUACCGGGUGCAGUAGACU